RNAcentral lists this unclassified non-coding RNA (230 nucleotides) under Glomus sp. Its description in RNAcentral is "partial contains 5.8S ribosomal RNA and internal transcribed spacer 2". The stretch from base 1 to 65 matches the Rfam family "5.8S ribosomal RNA", at positions 84 to 154 of the family's 154-position model. The record is from RNAcentral. Lineage: Eukaryota; Fungi; Glomeromycota; Glomeromycetes; Glomerales; Glomeraceae.
GUGAAUCAUCAAAUUUUUGAACGCAAAUUGCACUCUCCUCGGAGAGUAUGCCUGUUUGAGGGUCAGCCUAUAAAAAAUCGACAUCGUUGCUGUUUCGCGGUGGCGUUCGUCGGAAAUUGGGUCAUCUUAAAUCUUUUGGGUUUAAACGAAUUUAAAUUUUCUUUUUGGUUCCAUGAAAGUUUCUUAGAUUUAUUUCUUUAAAAGUUUAAGGUAUCGAGUUUUUCUUUACA